Molecule: unclassified non-coding RNA, 307 nt
Filed under: plant metagenome
Description: partial contains 5.8S ribosomal RNA, internal transcribed spacer 2, and large subunit ribosomal RNA
Rfam family: 5.8S ribosomal RNA (bases 1-105)
Source: RNAcentral
GAAAUGCGAUAAGUAGUGUGAAUUGCAGAAUUCAGUGAAUCAUCGAAUCUUUGAACGCACAUUGCGCCCCUCGGCAUUCCGUGGGGCAUGCCUGUUCGAGCGUCAUCUACACCCUCAAGCUCUGCUUGGUGUUGGGCGUCUGUCCCGCCUCCGCGCGCGGACUCGCCCCAAAUGCAUUGGCAGCGGUUCCUUGCCCCCCUCUUUGCGCAGCACAUUGCCAUUCGAGGCGGCGGCGGCCCGCGUCCAACAAGCUCAACCCCCCCGUCUUUGACCUCGGAUCAGGUAGGGAUACCCGCUGAACCUAAGC